This is a long non-coding RNA of Phasianus colchicus (ring-necked pheasant), 1296 nucleotides long. RefSeq lists it as uncharacterized. The record is from RefSeq and is a predicted model, not a curated record. Lineage: Eukaryota; Metazoa; Chordata; Aves; Galliformes; Phasianidae.
GGAGAUCCCUCCUUAGUGAAGUUUUCCAUUGUGAACCUGGAAUCUUCUGAUAUGGGUGGAGCACUGGAGAUGUAUUGCUGGAAAGCCAUGCCUCCUUUCUCCUAAUGAACCUCCAAACCUCCUGUGCUGUGAGUCAGUGAUGAAAUAACUGUCGUCUGAAUAAAGCUUUUAGUGCUGAACGUGAAAAAGUUCUAGGCUGCCAGCAGGUGGGAUCUGUGAUCAAACAGGAUAUAACAACUUGCACCUGGAUUACAAGAUAAAGCAGUGAAAUGGCACUUUUGUGGGAAAGGAGCUAACUCAGUCAUGAGAAAACAGUUUUGAAGAAAAGACAACAAGCACGUGUAACUGCUUGAAUUGCCUUGAGGACCAAUAUUUUGAUCUUGAACUGGCAUCCGCCCUUCCCUUGGCUUCAGCUGAUGGAAGAUGAGAUGCAUCUCUAUGUACAUCUAUUGCUUUGCAGCUCCCUUCCUGACUCUUGCCAGAAAUAGAUGUUACUAAGUACAUAGUGAUAUUUAUUUAACAUCUGGUACCCCACCGUGGUCCUGUUCUCCACCCAGAGAAAGGAUGCCCUUAGGCACAGGUGCUCUCAGUCCAGGAGAUGUCAUGGUGAUAUGUUUUAUGGCCACAGUGUUGAUAGGUUGAUGGCUGGACUACAAUUAUUUUAGUGACCUUUUCCAACCUAAAUGAUUCUGUGGCUGAGCUGGCACCUCCAGUGGUAUAGGGUGGGCUCUGGGAUGGUGUUGAUAGGUUUUUUUUCUACUGCUAGCAGAGAGGGGAUGCAUUUUCUCCUAUGAGAGCUGAUGAUGCUCUAUGAUUGCUGCAUACCCCAGCACCUUGCAAGGGCAUCUUGCAUUUGGAACAUCUUAAAACAUCUUAAACAGUGGCUGCAAAGUGUGAGAUACUAAAUAAGACUUUCUGCACACAGAGAAGAUUUAAAAAUGAAGGAAAGGCAGUGUGCAGCAUGACUCAGAGCAACACGCAAAAAGAACAGAGCCAUAGUGUGUUUGCUUGUGCAAUGGCUGCCUUUCUGCUUCUAUGUUUUGCUCCCAAACCCACGUGGCACAUGCUAUGCAGCUCUAUGCUUGAACUUUUCCUGGUUUCUUUUUAGUACUGGUGGUGUGGUGCAGCCAUCACCAGCAAAGGUGCACAUCUUGUUGCCCUACCAGCCCUGGGCAGUGAUGUCUGGCCAGCGUAGCACAUGAGAUGUGAGCUCUGCCAGCUCCUCCCAAAGUGGGUGUCUGUCUAGAGGAGAAAAAAAAUAGAAAAGAAGAAAAAGAAAAGGAGGAAAAAAAAAAA